GGCUAUUCUGAUCCGCUUCCCAGGACAGGCCAGUGCUUUGUCUCCCCCUCCAGACUAGCUGGCCAGCUUUGCUGUCAAUUGAAAGACAUCAACACAACAAGUCCGUUCUCUCCUUGUGCAUCUCUGCUGGUCUGGCAGCCUUUUCGCCAGUCACAAAGGCAUCCUGUUGAGCAGGCCAAGGACCCGGAGCCUGGCGCUGCGAGUAGCGAAUUCUGAGAGCAGCCCCGUUUUGAAAAACGACCGUUUAGAAUGUCCAGGGCAGAGAUAAGGGAGGCUGUUUGUCCUUCUUCUUUCCUUUUCUUCCUCUUCCUCUUCUGCUAUUUAUGACAGCCGUUGGUUCUCCUUUAACCAGGCAGUGCUGCCUUGCUCAGAAGUCCAGUGGGAUUCACAGGGGGCAGGAAGCUCUGGGUUUUCCCCACAAACGCCCCCAAAACCAACCUUGGGAAGUGGAGCUACCUCCAGGGCAUCUGCCAUCCCCACUUUUCUUCCUCCUGGCCAGUUCUUGGAUUCCAGAGAUAAGCCCGUCUCCCACCCCCACCCAGUGUCACCAUGAGCUAAUAAUAAGCCCCUCGCUCCUUCUCACCAGCACAGAGAGGCCUCGCCAGCUUAUCUCCGGCUGGUUAAUCUUUGUCCAGAGAGCCCUUCUGAUUAAGCAACCUGUUGCCAUCCUCUGCUUAACUCUUUGCAGCUGCCACCAUCUCCCCUCGCCCCUCCAACAGGAACCAACUGGUGCACAGCAAUCUGGACUGAGAGCAGCCCUCCCAGAACAGCAGAGCCACCAGCACUGUGACACGGGUCAGAACAAGGGCCCAGCCCCGAGACUGGUCAGCAACAUCAUCACCGGGGCCCAAGGAGACCAACACCUGAGGGCGCCCCCUUCCAAGCCCUCUUUUUCUGCAGCAGCAAGGGGAAACAACUACCACAGCAGCGGCUCCUACCACCAGUUAAAAGGGUUGCGUUCCAGGGUCCCACUGGCCCCAGCAAGGAAGCCUGCAAAGCCUAAAGGGGGCCUCCUCCUUCCAGAUCAGUUCAGCUCAAGAGGAGGCCUUUCAACUGAGCUUCCUCCACUUUGGCC
This 1075-nucleotide long non-coding RNA is filed under the name Naja naja (Indian cobra). RNAcentral describes it as "lncRNA (ENSNNAG00000017161.1)". The record is from RNAcentral. Lineage: Eukaryota; Metazoa; Chordata; Lepidosauria; Squamata; Elapidae.